RNAcentral lists this ribosomal RNA (912 nucleotides) under uncultured bacterium. RNAcentral describes it as "bacterial SSU rRNA". It matches the Rfam family "Bacterial small subunit ribosomal RNA", at positions 8 to 916 of the family's 1533-position model. The record is from RNAcentral.
AGAGUUUGAUCAUGGCUCAGGAUGAACGCUAGCGGCAGGCUUAAUACAUGCAAGUCGAGGGGUAACAUGGGUAGCAAUACCUGAUGACGACCGGCAAACGGGUGCGGAACACGUACGCAACCUUCCCAUAACUGGUGAAUAGCCCUCCGAAAGGAGGAUUAAUACACCGUAACAUAACGAAGUGGCAUCACUUUGUUAUUAUAGGCUUCGGCCGGUUUUGGAUGGGCGUGCGCCUGAUUAGGUAGUUGGCGGGGUAACGGCCCACCAAGCCUGCGAUCAGUAACUGGUGUGAGAGCACGACCAGUCACACGGGCACUGAGACACGGGCCCGACUCCUACGGGAGGCAGCAGUAAGGAAUAUUGGUCAAUGGACGAAAGUCUGAACCAGCCAUGCCGCGUGAAGGAUGAAGGCCCUCUGGGUUGUAAACUUCUUUUAUAGGGGACGAAAAAAGCUCAUUCUUGAGCACUUGACGGUACCCUAGGAAUAAGCACCGGCUAACUCCGUGCCAGCAGCCGCGGUAAUACGGAGGGUGCAAGCGUUAUCCGGAUUUACUGGGUUUAAAGGGUGCGUAGGUGGGCAGUUAAGUCAGUGGUGAAAUCUCCGAGCUUAACUCGGAAACUGCCAUUGAUACUAUCUGUCUUGAAUAUCCUGGAGGUGAGCGGAAUAUGUCAUGUAGCGGUGAAAUGCUUAGAUAUGACAUAGAACACCAAUCGCGAAGGCAGCUCACUACGGGGUCAUUGACACUGAGGCACGGAAGCGUGGGGAUCAAACAGGAUUAGAUACCCUGGUAGUCCACGCCCUAAACGAUGGAUACUCGACAUCAGCGAUACACUGUUGGUGUCUGAGCGAAAGCAUUAAGUAUCCCACCUGGGAAGUACGAUCGCAAGAUUGAAACUCAAAGGAAUUGACGG